AACGAACGCUGGCGGCAUGCCUAACACAUGCAAGUCGAACGAGACCUUCGGGUCUAGUGGCGCACGGGUGCGUAACGCGUGGGAACCUGCCCUUAGGUUCGGAAUAACUCCCCGAAAGGGGUGCUAAUACCGGAUAAUGUCUUCGGACCAAAGAUUUAUCGCCUUUGGAUGGGCCCGCGUUGGAUUAGCUAGUUGGUAGGGUAAAAGCCUACCAAGGCGACGAUCCAGAGCUGGUCUGAGAGGAUGAUCAGCCACACUGGGACUGAGACACGGCCCAGACUCGUACGCGAGGGAGCAGUGGGGAAUAUUGGACGAGGGGCGAAAGCCUGAUCCAGCAAUGCCGCGUGAGUGAUGAAGGCCUUAGGGUUGUAAAGCUCUUUUAACCGGGAUGAUAAUGACAGUACCGGGAGAAUAAGCUCCGGCUAACUCCGUG
This 433-nucleotide ribosomal RNA is filed under the name uncultured bacterium. RNAcentral's name for it is "partial 16S ribosomal RNA". It matches the Rfam family "Bacterial small subunit ribosomal RNA", at positions 29 to 507 of the family's 1533-position model. The record is from RNAcentral.